Molecule: ribosomal RNA, 253 nt
Filed under: uncultured bacterium
Lineage: Bacteria
Description: partial 16S ribosomal RNA
Rfam family: Bacterial small subunit ribosomal RNA
Source: RNAcentral
UACGUAGGGGGCAAGCGUUGUCCGGAUUUAUUGGGCGUAAAGAGCGUGUAGGCGGUUAGGUAGGUCCGUUGUGAAAACUCGAGGCUCAACCUCGAGACGCCGAUGGAAACCAUCUGACUAGGGUCCGGAAGAGGAGAGUGGAAUUCCUGGUGUAGCGGUGAAAUGCGCAGAUAUCAGGAGGAACACCGAUGGCGAAGGCAGGCCUCUGGGCCACUACUGACGCUGAGAAGCGAAAGCAUGGGGAGCGAACAGG